UUCCUACGGGGCGCAGCAGUGGGGAAUAUUGCACAAUGGGGGAAACCCUGAUGCAGCGACGCCGCGUGAGUGAAGAAGUAUCUCGGUACGUAAAGCUCUAUCAGCAGGGAAGAAAAAAAGUCUUUGGCUUUGGACGGUACCUGACUAAGAAGCCCCGGCUAACUACGUGCCAGCAGCCGCGGUAAUACGUAGGGGGCAAGCGUUAUCCGGAUUUACUGGGUGUAAAGGGAGCGUAGACGGCAGCGCAAGUCUGGAGUGAAAUGCCGGGGCCCAACCCCGGGACUGCUCUUGGAACUGCAUGGCUG
Molecule: ribosomal RNA, 305 nt
Filed under: uncultured bacterium
Lineage: Bacteria
Description: bacterial SSU rRNA
Rfam family: Bacterial small subunit ribosomal RNA
Source: RNAcentral